Molecule: ribosomal RNA, 508 nt
Filed under: uncultured bacterium
Lineage: Bacteria
Description: partial 16S ribosomal RNA
Rfam family: Bacterial small subunit ribosomal RNA
Source: RNAcentral
GACGAACGCUGGCGGCGUGCCUAAUACAUGCAAGUCGAACGCUUCUUUCCUCCCGAGUGCUUGCACUCAAUUGGAAAGAGGAGUGGCGGACGGGUGAGUAACACGUGGGUAACCUACCCAUCAGAGGGGGAUAACACUUGGAAACAGGUGCUAAUACCGCAUAACAGUUUAUGCCGCAUGGCAUAAGAGUGAAAGGCGCUUUCGGGUGUCGCUGAUGGAUGGACCCGCGGUGCAUUAGCUUGUUGGUGAGGUAACGGCUCACCAAGGCCACGAUGCAUAGCCGACCUGAGAGGGUGAUCGGCCACACUGGGACUGAGACACGGCCCAGACUCCUACGGGAGGCAGCAGUAGGGAAUCUUCGGCAAUGGACGAAAGUCUGACCGAGCAACGCCGCGUGAGUGAAGAAGGUUUUCGGAUCGUAAAACUCUGUUGUUAGAGAAGAACAAGGACGUUAGUAACUGAACGUCCCCUGACGGUAUCUAACCAGAAAGCCACGGCUAACUACGUG